CACACACACACACACACACACACACACACAGCCCCUCCUAGCCGGGAUAAGAUCUGAGAUUCCCUUUCUUCCUUCCCCAGGUUUCUGGGAGGCCAGGAACAGCGCUCAGAUCACCUGAGUCUCUCCAAGGAUAGAGACCUCCCCUCCUUUUUCUGGUGUUUACAGAACAGUAAGAAAGCGAGGUUAGGUGCAGAAGGGCCUCGCCAUUCCUGGCCCCCAGGGGUGUGGGUGCUGAGAGGCGGAGCCAGCGGCCCAGGCCUCUCCGCAUUGGGCGGGCUCGGCAGGUAACCCGAAGCUUGGCGGAGAGGUGCAUAAAUAAAGUGUGGAACUAGCACCACCUCCUUGAAAGGGGCUGAGUCCUACUUCUUCACCUUUGCCUUGGAAAAACCGGCUUCUCUCUCUUUUAUUGUCUGUGCUGAAAGUUCAACUGAGCCCCACCGUACUCCAAACUCUUUCUUUCUGGCUGAAUUUGCUCCCCUCUCCUCCAUCUCCCCUAUCCUCUGCUUUCAUAUGCUUUUUUAAUUAAAGGUAAAGUGACUGUUCAGGACUGGCCCCCACCUGCCCUCACUCAGGACCCAUUUCUGUUCUGCAGGGGCCUGCUCAGCUGGACACUUUAUACACUCAGAGGAGGCCCUGUUACCUGAAGGUACAGACACUCAUACUGACAGAUUUCAGUGGAGUGAAGUUCAGGAGGCGUGGAACUGACACCAGAGCAGCUGCAAGCGUAGCUUUGACUUGGAAAAGGAAAGGCCCAGUGAGAGGUGUGAGAGAUGCAGACAUCUGCUGUGAGUAUCCUUCCGCAGAUGGGACGGGCGAUGGGCAGAUUGGCAGAAGCGCCACAGAUGGGAUCUGCUUAUUCUUUCUAAAAUGAAUGCCAUGGACGUGUGUGUUUUCUGUAACUCAUAAAAAUUAAAAGUUUUCUGUC
Molecule: long non-coding RNA, 925 nt
Organism: Lagenorhynchus albirostris (white-beaked dolphin)
Lineage: Eukaryota; Metazoa; Chordata; Mammalia; Artiodactyla; Delphinidae
Exons: 3
Source: RefSeq, a predicted model, not a curated record